This is a non-coding RNA of Punica granatum (pomegranate), 392 nucleotides long. The record is from RefSeq and is a predicted model, not a curated record. Lineage: Eukaryota; Viridiplantae; Streptophyta; Magnoliopsida; Myrtales; Lythraceae.
AAAAAUCCCUGAAGGUAGAUACAUAUUGUAGCGGCUAUCAAGACCCGAAAUUGGCGGAAAAGCUUCGUAGACUAUAUCCUGACUUCACUUACCCGAAGAAUUACAGUGAGACUCAACAUGACAACAAGCUGAACUCCGAGAAGCUGCAGAAGCUGGGAUGGACUUAUUGGCCACUGGAAGAAACUCUCAUAGACUCCGUUGAAAGCUACCGAGAGGCUGGGCUGCUUAAGUAGUUAUGGCUUGUGAUGAAACUCGGAAAAUUCGUUUGCUGUUAUUUUCGAUAAUUUGGAUUGUACAGGAAAGUUGUUGUCCUUCAUUUCUAUUGAUAAUGAAAUUUCUUCCCAGAUGUACUUAUAUUUGGCAAUUUGACUACAAUUUCUGUUUCUUUGUCA